Molecule: ribosomal RNA, 397 nt
Filed under: uncultured Synergistaceae bacterium
Lineage: Bacteria; Thermotogati; Synergistota; Synergistia; Synergistales; Synergistaceae
Description: bacterial SSU rRNA
Rfam family: Bacterial small subunit ribosomal RNA
Source: RNAcentral
GGCGGACGGGUGAGAAACGCGUGAGGAUCUGCCGUGAGGAGAGGGACAACGUCUGGAAACGGACGCUAAUACCCCAUAAGCCGAGAGGUGAAAAGGAGCAAUCCGCCUUGCGAGGAACUCGCGUCCUAUCAGCUAGUUGGUGAGGUAACGGCCCACCAAGGCUAUGACGGGUAGCUGGUUUGAGAGGACGACCAGCCACACUGGAACUGAGAGACGGUCCAGACUCCUACGGGAGGCAGCAGUGGGGAAUAUUGGGCAAUGGGGGCAACCCUGACCCAGCGACGCCGCGUGUGGGAAGAAGUCCCUUGGGACGUAAACCACUGUUGUGCGGGAAGAAGGAAGUGACGGUACCGCACGAGGAAGGCCCGGCAAACUACGUGCCAGCAGCCGCGGUAAU